UCUUGAUACAUGUGAAUUGUAAUGCUUGCUGUAAAUUUCUCUUAUAACUACUACUACUAGUAAUACUAAUAGUAUCAUUAUCACAGUAUCAGUCAGAAAUAAGAAGUAUAUACAUUUUUCAUGGGUAAAGCAAAAUCAAAGUUCAUUAUGGUUUUGAUGAGAAGUAUAGUGAGUGGUCACCACAUUGUUACCACUAGGCCCAGAUUGGCUGACAAGUUAGAGUUUAUUAAAUACGAUCCUUACAUUCAAAAAAAAUCCCUAUACAGAGAGGAGAAGAAGAUUAGAAGUACAUGAGGUCAACCAUGAAAAUGGUUCUGCAAUAUGAGAAAGCCUAGAAACAAUACUUGUAUAAUUAGGUGUAUUAAAUGUAGCUCAUUUUGACAGUAUAUUGAAAAAUGUGAGCAAGUGAUUGAGUUCUUUUUUCAAAUAAAAGCACUUAGAAAUUCAUAA
Long non-coding RNA from Limulus polyphemus (Atlantic horseshoe crab), 450 nucleotides. RefSeq lists it as uncharacterized. The record is from RefSeq and is a predicted model, not a curated record. The transcript is spliced from 4 exons. NCBI's taxonomy places the organism in Eukaryota, Metazoa, Arthropoda, Merostomata, Xiphosura, Limulidae.